AGUUGUUCAGUUAGGUUCAUCGAUUAUUUUGAUUUUUAUUAAUAACUCUGAUUAUUUCCAACCCUGUGGUGGGGUGUUAUAGACCCAUCAUUAAUCUCUUAACAUUUAUUGCCAGGUGAUCUCCAGUAGCAGACCAUGAUCAGAGGCAGGAAGGGCGGGCAGAGGUCGGUGGGUGGCAGAGAAGAACCUACAGGUCCUCCCACCCUACCUUCCCUCACUGGUACCGGCAGACACAACCCCAGUGACAUAGCUCGGUACACCCUGCAGCAGCUUUUGGUGACCACGGAGAUACUGGUCCCUCCCAUGCCGAGAUUUGUGGGUAGAGGCUCUGGUCGUCGUCUAGUAGGCAGAAGGUCACCACGCCUGAGAACAGCUUCUACCACACACCUCAAAGUUACCACACACAUGGAGGGUGGUAGUGGUGGAGGAGGGAUCCGGCAAGACUCAACAAUGACGCCAGCCACCAUGAUGGAGCCUGCCAUGGUAGCUGCUGAAUUUCGGAACCGCAUGAAGCCCCUAACACAACCCAAGAAGUACGGGGCAGUGCCAGCUCCUGCAGGGGAUGGGUCCAACCCCUGGGACUACAGUCAGUUGCUACAUAGACGCCGCGCUAGGAUACGCCAUGCUGCACACUUCCACAGACGUCGUCGUGCAGAGUUUGCCCUCCUAGUGAUGAAUUCGUGCCGCAGGCUGAGGGCCACCCACCGCCCCAGCCCACCAGACCUAGUCCAAACCCUCAUCCACCGCAUACCCAUCAUCCUCAGAACAAAAUAUGACCGCAUCCUGAAGGAACUGUUCCAAGAACUACAGGGGAGAGAAGUGCAGCCAGUGCAAAUGCAGCCUCUGGGAACUUUUGAAAGGCAUGACGUGGUAGGUGUGGAGCGGGUGCCAUGGGUGGGGCGGGAGAGGCGUGCCCUGAGUCGUGCCAUGGCCAGCUUUCCCCCAGCUGUGAGGACUGUCAUGGCCCAGGCCCUGAGGCCACUAGACACACUCAGUCUGGUUGACAGCCAUGAUGGAGGUGGGGGUGUAGGUGUGGGUGAAGGUGUGGAGCUGAGCGUUUUGAUCACAAGGUGGCGGGCAGCAGCUAGGGCAGGACGUUCUCAUCUCCGUAACAACUGGUUCCCCACAUCUCUCUCAUCCAUUCGGGAAGCGGCUCUGGCUACCAACCUCUCUCCUUCUCGUAGACACACUGUAAUGCAUGCCUUCAAUAACCUCCUGGCCUCUAAACUGCAAGAGGUGCUGAUUCGCAGUGUGGAGAGCGUCCUCAAAUGGCUGGGAAGUGAGGAGGAGCCAUGGGUGGGUCCCAGGAUCAAAUUGUACCUGGUCUUAGAUGAUAACCAGGUGGUCCUGAACCCAGAUGAGGAGGCACUCUAUUCAGCCUUCAUGGAUCUCUUCAAGGAGCUGGAUGAGUGUGUACAACUGUAUCGUGGAACAUGGGAUGAACCAAAACCCCCCAAGAUACCCAAAUGGCGUCAACGUGCAGCAGAGAUGGGACCCCCAGGUGAAGAGGAAGUGGCUCCCCCACUGCGUCCUCUUCAACCCCGCCGGGAAACUCUGGUUGUCACUCUUUCUGAGCCUCAGUGGGAAGCCUUCCGGAACAUGCUCACCACAAGCAUUCAAAUUCGGUUCACUAAGGCUGGAGAGUUCUUGGACCAAAUAUCCAGUGAGUGGUCGACUGUGCUGCGUGGAGAGGUGAGGACCGAGGUGGAUCACUUUCUGAGUCUGGGCGCUGAGCUGGAUGAGUAUGCAGGUCAGAUCCACCACUACUCGGCUUAUAUUGAGCAGGCCAGUCAUGUCCCCACAUCUGCCACUCUACAUGUCUUCAGACUGGAGUACAAAUUUCUGCGACAGAGUCUGCUGUUAGUGUCUUCGUCCUUCGUGUCUGUUCUACGAGACAGACUGAUAGCUGACCACCGUGAAACAACACAAGGACUUGAUCAACAGUUUGGAAUGAUCCAUAAACGUCUCCAUGAGAUUCCCAAGUCUACAGAUGAGCUGUUCAAGCUGAUGGAAUAUGUGGAGGAAGUGCGACGCAUUACCAUCCACCGACUGGCUGAGGAAGUGGCGGAUAUGGUUGUUAGGCUGAAGGUGAUCUUGGAUGUGGUCCACCUGACCCCUGAUGACCUUGCCACCACUGCUGCAGUCAUUGUUUGGCCAGCCAAGCUCAAGCCUGUUGUGGACCGUGCUGUUGAGUCACUGGAGGAUUUAAAACAAGAGUUUGAGGAGACUUUGGUGGAGAGAUCAGGGGAAGUCAACCACACCUUGGAGCGCAUCCAACAGUUUGUGACAGAGUUGGAAGAAUUGUCUGAUGUCUCCCAUGUCAACAAGUACAUCAGGGAGGUGCGAAAAUUGGAGGGAAGACUGGAGAAAGUUAGCACUCUAGUGUCAUGGGUCAACCAGGAGGAGUCACUCUUCAAGUUCCAGCUCUCAUCCUUUCCACUUCUUGCUGAGCUAAAGGACUGCUUGGUGCCAUACGAUGAGCUCUUUACACUAGUGAUGAAGUGGCGUAAAUAUGAGAAGUAUUGGAUGGAUGGUGAUUUCACGAGCCUCGACCCAGAUUUUAUAGAUGGUGAGACAGAAGAACUGGCCAGGGAACUGUUUCGACUUCGUAAAACCUUCAAGAUGAAAUUUAAGCAGCAAGCUCUAGAGGGUGACCCACGAAAGGCCAGGAUGAACCUGGAUGACCCAAAUCCAGAUAAUCUGCCAGGACCACUGCGGGUGUGUGCCCUUGCCCUCACACAGAUCAAAAACUUCAAGGAGCACCUACCUCUGGUGUCUGUCCUGUGUAACAAAGGGUUACGACCACGACAUUGGGAAAACCUAAAUAAAGCAGCUGGUUUUGACAUUACUCCUAAUGCUGGCACCAGUCUACGAAAGGUGGUACAGAUGCAGCUUGGAGGAUUGCUGAAAGAGUUUGAGGUAGUAAGCAGCGGUGCAUCUCGGGAGUAUAGCUUAGAGCUCUCACUGGCCAACAUGCGGAGUGCAUGGGAGUCAGCACAACUUACCAAGGCCCCACACCAAGAGGUGGAUGUGGAGGUACUAGCAGGGCUACAAGAGGUGCGGGAGCUGGUGGAGGAUCACCUAAUUAUUACCCAUACUAUUAAAAAUUCUCCGUUCGUUGGGCCAUUUGUUGAUGAUGUGAAGGAGUGGGAGAGGAUCCUCCGAACAGUGCAGGAGACACUCACUGUGUGGUUAAAGGUACAAACACUAUGGGUAGAACUGACUCCUGUCUUCUCCACUCCUGAUCUGCCACUCCAACUGCCAGAUGAACAUAAACUAUUUCAGGAACUGGAUGAGAAAUGGGUGUCAGUGAUGGAGGAGACUGUGUCCACUGAACAGUUGUUAGAUGUAGUUGGGGAUGCUGAUGCUCUUGAGGAGGUGUCUUAUUGCCUCAAUAAUUUUGCUGUCAUCCAGAAGGCUGUUCAUGCCUAUCUUGAUAACAAGAGAAGGAUCUUCCCAAGACUGUACUUCCUUUCUAAUGAGGAACUGGUAGCACUUCUGUGUGAAAAGGAUGUUUUAAGGUUGGAGCAGCAUAUCCGCAAGUGUUUCGAUGGUGUUCACUUGCUCCAUCUGGAUGAUUGCUGUGAUAUUUAUGCUGUGGAGAGCAAAGAAGGUGAAGUUGUCCAGCUCAUCAAAAAGCUUCCAACCUCUCAAGCCCACCACAGCAUUGAGAACUGGCUGCUCCAGUUUCAGGAAUCUCUUAUCUUUACACUGAAGAUGAAGACAUGCUCAGGUGCUGAUACAUGGUCUCGGCAAGGUGGUAGUUCUGGAGGGGAUAUUGACAUUCUCCUACCACCCUGGCCACUCCAGGUGACGCUAACAGUGAGACACAUCUUUUGGACAGCUGAGGUCCAUCAAGCUAUCUGUGGAGGAACUCAGGCUUUGCAAGAGUGUCUAACUCGGGUUGAGAAGGAGGUUCGAUUGCUUGUUUCUGUCCUCAGAAAGAACAAUUUAGAUGGCAAUAGUCAGUCUGUCAGUACACCUCAUUCCCCUGGUACUCCAUCAACCCCAGGUACCCCAUCCACACCAGUAUCAUCAUCCAGGGUGAGCACAACCUCUAUCAUUCCUCCCAGUCCAUCCCGUCAUGCCCUCUCUACCCUCAUACUGGUCACAGUUUAUGCCAGGGACAUACUCAGAGACCUGAUUCGUCAAGGUGUUAGUGAUGAGGAAUCAUUUACCUGGCUGUCUCAGCUCAGGUGUUACUUGAAUGAGGAUGAGAUAGAGGCAAGGAUGCUGUUUUGUCCUUUACCAUGGGGCUGGGAGUAUGUGGGAGCAGAAGGACGUUUGGUAGUGACACCCCUCACUGCCCGUGCCCACCAUACACUCGUCACUGCUUAUCAUGCACACCUGGGAGGAGCACCAGAGGGCCCUGCUGGCACUGGAAAGACAGAGACAGUCAAGGAUCUUGCCCGUUCACUGGCCAUGAACUGCUUAGUGUUCAACUGUUCUGAUGACUUGGAUUAUAUUUCAAUGGGCAAGUUCUUUUCUGGAGUGGCAGCAUCUGGUAGCUGGGCUUGCUUUGAUGAAUUUAACAGGCUUGAGGUAGGAGUGUUAAGUGUGGCAGCCCAACAGAUCCUAACAGUAGUGAGUGCUAGAAGGGAGGCCAGAGAUACAUUCUGUAUGGAGGGAGGCCAACCCCUUUCCCUCAACCCAAAGGGCUUCAUUACUGUAACAAUGAACCCUCAGUACAAGGGCCGUGUCACACUUCCUGAUAAUCUUAAGCUGCUUCUCCGGCCUGUGUCAAUGAUGAUGGCAGACUACCACUCCAUUGCUGAAGUUUCACUGCUGUCAUGUGGGUUCCUGCAUGCCCGUGCCCUUGCAGCUCGUAUCGUCAGUGUCAUGCAUUAUGCACAGCAGAUGCUUCACCCUCACCACCACUAUGACUUUGGUAUGCGAGCUGUCAAAACUGUACUGAUGGUCACUGGUAGACUGCGUAUCUCUUUCCCUGAGUGGUCAGAGACAGAAGUUAUUCUCCGGGCCUUACGAGAGGUCAACCAUCCAAAGCUGGUCACUGAAGACUUCCGCAGGUUUGAGGACAUCUUGGUAGACUUCUUUCUGGAGCUGCCACCCACACCAAGACCACCUGAUGACGAUCUCACUAAAUAUAUUGAGCAGGUAUGUGCUGAUGGUGGACUGUUGGUAACCAAUGAGUUUGUGCUGAAGAUUUUACAACUAUUUGAGACACUAAAGGAGAGACAUGGUGUUAUGCUGGUCGGCCCUCCCUGUGCUGCCAAAACUACCAUCAUCAAGACACUAUCCUCGGCCCUGAGUUUGAUGGAAAGUGAUCGACCAAUCACCAUUGAGGCCUUGAACCCAAAGACACUAGCACAGGGACAGUUAAUUGGUUCCCUGAGCCCGGUCUCUCGAGAGUGGUCUGAUGGUCUGUUGGCACAGAUUAUUAGGCGAGGCAGAGCACAACGGUACUGGCUGGUGCUGGAUGGCCCAGCUGAUGCUUCCUGGGUAGAGAACCUCAACACAGCACUUGAUGACUCUCGCAAGCUGUGCCUGCCCUCGGGGGAGACUCUUCCUUUACCUACUGACAUGGCAGUCAUAUUUGAGGUUUUGGAUUUAUCACAGGCUUCCCCCGCCACUGUGUCGCGGUGCGGUAUGGUGUACGUAGGUGGUGGCACUGUUACGUGGAAUGUUGUUCUACACUCAUGGCUCCAUGCCCAUGCUCAUGACACUUGGUGGGAGGAAUACUCCCAUAUCCUGGAAGACCUUGCCAAUUGGCUCAUCCCGCCAUCCUUGACUUUUGCUUUAGAACACUGUCGUUUCUUGGUGCCCAUCAUCGAAGUUUCACUUAUCAGGUCUGUGUUUCCACUUACGGCAACAAUGAUAGAGGAUGUGCUGCAAGACUCCUCUGUCUUGCAGAAGGACACUGCCAAGGUGGGCCCCAUCUGGACCACAGCAGCUUUUCUCUUCUCCCUCACCUGGUCCCUUGCUGGUGCCAUGACUAUGGACACUAAAGAUGCUUUUAGUGAUUUCUUUAGAAGACUUGUAAUGGGUUACAUUCCAGCUUAUCCACCACCAAACUCUAUAGGACAAAUUGGCUGUCCAUAUCCAACUGAGGGGAGUGUCUUUGAUGUGAUGUUUGAUGCCAAACAGCGGUCUUUCUGGCGGCCUUGGACUGAUGUUGUUAAACAUGCUGAGAUCACAGAAACCUCAAAAAUCUCAACCGUUCUUGUUCCCUUGAUAGAAUCUGCCAGAUUAGACUACCUGUUAGAUGUAUGUGGACGAUCCACUGGGGGAAUACUAGUGGUUGGUGAGGGUCAAAGUGGACGUAGAGUAAUAACACAGCACUACCUACAAGGCCUUGCCACCUCAACUGUUGAUUCAGUCAUAAUUCCCAUCACUCCAGUUACCACAGCACACAUGUUAAAGUCUGUUGUGAUGAGCCGCAUGGCACCACGGGAGUGUGGGAAGUGGGGUGCCAAGGAAGGUCGUAGGCUGGUAGUGUUUGUGGAUGAUCUUCACCUAGCGGCUCAAGACAAUUACUAUGCACAGCCAGUCCAUGAAGCAGUGAGGGAGGCGAUGCACCACAACAAUUGGGUCAGUACUGAAAGCACCACAAAAAUGUGUUUGGAGGAUGUGACAUGGAUUGGUGGUACCUCCUUGAACUUAGGAAAUAAAGCCGCAAAUGAUGAUGAUGCAGCAGGGACGGGUUUGUUGGAGCCCAGGUGUUUGGCUGGCUUUAUUGUGAUUGUUGCCCACACACUUUCUAAGGACACUAUCAAUCGAAUCUUCACCACUCAACUCAAUGUUUUUCUCCGAGCUGGAGGCUUCGUACCAGACAUGUUUACUGUGGUGGCAGGCAUUGUGGCUGGUACCCUUGAUGUUUUGCACUAUGCCCAAGUAUCACUACCAUCAACACCUACCAAGAGCCAUUAUGUAUUUAACUUGGCCACUGCUGCUCGUGUAAUUCACUCUGUUAGCUUCUUGAGAAAAGAAUCCAUGGAAACAAAGAGGCACUUUGUCAGGUUGUGGGUACAUGAGAUAUACCGGGAAUUUUGUGAUCGAUUGACAGACGCAUCAGAGGUGACACCCAUCUACAACAUUCUUGUCAAUACCAUUAAGACUAGCUUCAGAGACAAGAUUCAUGUAAUCUUUGACAAACUCUGCAAUGAAGAUGGAUCGGAGAAAAACAAUUCAAGCCAAAAUCAAUUAAUUUUGAAUCAUCAAGGGAAGACCAGCAACCAACAGAAUCCACCUAAGGUGACAGAGGCUUGCAUCGAGCGUGCAUGUUGGGGCUUGAUGGGCAGCAUAGACACUACAGCAGAAGAAAGGCGUUAUGAGGAGCUCACAGAUGCUGCUCAGCUCCAUCAAACAAUCACUCUCUUUAUUGAUGAGUACAAUAAUGAGAACAGCACACCAUUAAAUCUUGUCACUUUCAAGUAUGUGGUUAAUCAUGUGUCCCGGAUAUGUCGUGUACUAGGACGAGCAGGUGGUCAUCUUAUGCUGGUGGGCAUGGGUGGGUCAGGCCGACGUUCCCUGGCCCGCCUAGCUGCACAUAUUUGCGGACAUAAGCUUGCUUAUCCAUUCAUCAAUGCCCAAGAUGGGUAUGCAGAGCUAAGGAAAGUAUUGAAGGAAUCCCUGAUCAGAGCAGGUGUUGAUGAAAAGGCCACAGUAGUGGUGGUUGGGGAUGCUGUACUUCAACAUCCAACUGUUCUACACCUGCUUAAUACACUAAUUCUUACUGGUGAUGCACCCAACUUGCUGCCUCCAGAGGACCACAGCUAUCUAAUGGAGCGCCUACGUCUGUCCACUGAGGAUCGCAGUGUAAGUGAAGCAGACCUGUGGCGGGAACAAGUACAACGUGUAGCAGAUCUUGUACAUGUGGUAAUAACUUGUCCACCCUCUUCUGUGCUCCGCCACACCCUCAUCCAAUAUCCUGCCUUUGCAACCCAUGUUACCAUGGAUUACUUCAAGCCAUGGCCACAAGAAGCACUUGUAAAAGUGGGUGAGCACUAUCUGGCAGAAGUUCCCCUAAGAAGAUCUAUUAAAGAUGCUGUCAUUUCUGCUGCUACAGCCACACACCAGACUGCCAGACAAAUGUCAGAACAGAUCAUAGCAGAAGGAAAAUGGUGUCUUCCUGUGACCCCUGCCUUGUAUCUCCACCUUCUGCAGGAGUUCCGUAGCCUAUUCACCACCCGGCAGGCUCACACCUCCUCCCUCAAAAAGAAAUAUCUUUCUGGGCUUGAUAAAUUAGCUUUUGCUGCCUCUCAGAUCUCAGUGAUGCAGGAGAUGCUGGCAUCACUUGGUCCCCAAAUAGAAGAAGCCUCCCACGAUGUGUCCAAGAUGAUGGAGCUGAUUGAACAGGAAUCUAUGGAGGUUGAGGCUCGAAGAAAGCUCGUGGCUGCAGAGGAGACAGAGGCUGGAGUACAUGCAGCACGUGCCCAAGCAUUGAAAGACGAGUGCCAGACAGAACUGAACCAGGCACUCCCAGCUCUACAGGAGGCAGUUGAGGCCCUCAACACACUCAAGCCUGCAGACAUCACAGUUGUAAAGAGUAUGAAGAAUCCUCCACAUGCAAUUAAGCUUGUCAUGGCUGCAGUCUGUGUCAUGUUGGAAAUCAAGCCUGAAAAGUUAAAAAACAGCAGUGUUAAAGCGACAUUUGACUUUUGGGGCCCAAGCAAACGUCUCCUGAGUGAUCUGAGCUUCUUGCAGCAGCUGCGAGACUAUGACAAAGAUGACAUCCCCGACUCUGUCAUGGAUAAGAUUAACAAGGAAUAUGUUCGCCUACCAGAGUUUGACCCAACAUCAGUAGCUAAAGCAUCAAGUGCUGCUGAAGGACUGUGUAAAUGGGUCCGUGCCAUGGCCUCAUACAAUGCAAUUGCUAAGGUUGUAGCUCCAAAGAGAGAACGUCUGGUAGAAGCUGAGGCUGAAGUGGCUGCCAUCAUGUCUGUAGUUGAAGCCAAGAGAGGACAGCUCAGGGAAUUGGAAGAAAAGUUGGAAGUCCUUCAGCGUCGCUUCUCGCUCUCAUGUCGUGAAAAGGAGAACCUUGAGACCGAGCAGAAACUUUGUGCACUCAAAUUAGAAAGGGCAAGAAAACUUAUAAGUGGACUGGGAGGGGAGCAGACUCGUUGGGAGGCUGCAGCAGACAAUGCUGCUGCAGACCUGGCACGCUUACCAGGUGACACUUUGCUUGCUGCUGCAUCGUUAGCAUAUCUUCCACCUCACCAGCCUGAUGUUAGAGAUCGACUGGUGGAAGAAUGGAUCUUGGCAGUGAAGGAGGCAAAGCUUGAGGUAACUGAUUCCUUCAGCCUGGUGGACACACUCACCCCAGCACUAGACAUUCGUGCAUGGGGCCUUGAGGGACUUCCCACUGACUCUUUCUCACUUCAGAAUGCCACCAUCAUCAAGCACACUGUGAAGUGGCCACUGCUUGUAGAUCCUGAUGACCAGGGUACACGCUGGAUCCAAGAGCAUGAAGCUGCCAAUAACCUAGAAAUCAUCCAGGAACAGGAUAUUGACAAGUUGUCUCCCAAAGCUGUGGGUGGGGCACGGGUAACUGUUUUAGAGGAUGUGCUGACUCGCUGUGUUCCAAAGGGUCGGCCAGUCCUUCUUCUUGAUCUGUCUGGAGAUCCACCGUCUAUUCUCACCAACAUUAUCAACCACACUACAACAGAAGAAGGUGGUGUCCGGGUGGUGAGUGUUGGGACCCUCACGUUGAGAUACAACAAUGAUUUCCGGCUGUACCUAGCCACUCGACAACCGCGACCUCAUUUUUCCCUGGAGACUGCUGCUGCUCUCACUGUUGUCAAUUUCACUGUUACUGUUCAUGGUCUACAUGGUAACCUGCGACAGAUCCUCGUCAGGAAAGAGCGCCCUGAAUUGGAGGAUGAACGACAGAAACUAGUGUUGACAACAUCUUCAUACCAACGUGCUUUGCAAGGGACUGAGGAACGUAUCUUGCAUACUUUGUCUUCUGUGCAGGGGAACAUCUUGGAGUCUGAAGAAGCCAUCAUGAUACUUCAGGAUACUAAGCAAAUGUCAGAUGAGAUCAAGCGUAAACAGGAGCAAUGCGUGGAGACAGAGGCAGCCUUGCUUCUUUGCUGCCAGCAGUAUGAGGCAGUGUCAAGACCUGCAGCUGCUCUCUACAUGACUCUGGCAAGCCUCUGCUCUCUCUCACACAUGUACCAGUUUUCUCUCAGUUGGUACAUUAAUCUGUACAUCAAUGUUAUAGAGACAACGUAAGUAUACAUAACACUGUUGCUGAAGUUUCAAUUGUGUGUGCUGGAAUACACAAAAUUAGGAAAAAGGCAGUUCAUUAUACCUGAUGAGCACCCAGCUUAUUUUUAGAUGGUCAAUGGAGCAUCAUUGCAUAUUUGUAAAAAUAAGGAAUAAUGGAACCAGUCCAAAUUCUUUCAGAUGUGUGUUAAUGCACUAAAAAACUUAAAUGUACAUUUACUUUUACAAAAGAUUCAUAAACGAAACAAAAUUGACACCUCUCAUAUAUGCAUUUGUUUGCAACAUUAUUUCAAAUAUCUUUUAAUGCAUUCAGCUUUGUUUUGUUUUUUACUUUUGCAUUACUUGAUAAUUGCAUUACACAGAGUGUUUAGUGGAAGGUUCGUUGUCCUCACUUAGCCAUCUUUUCUGCUUUAUAACAAAACAGUUCAUGGAGCUAGGCUGUUACGACAUCAGGGUGGGAAGAGCUCAGUAUUAGAGCGUCGCCUGAGCCUGUUGCAGGAAUCACUAGUGAGUCACGUCCAUUCAGCAGUGGUGUGUGGCCUGGCUGCUGCUCAUAGGCUGCCUUUUACUUUCCUCAUUG
Molecule: unclassified non-coding RNA, 10768 nt
Filed under: Homarus americanus (American lobster)
Lineage: Eukaryota; Metazoa; Arthropoda; Malacostraca; Decapoda; Nephropidae
Description: dynein axonemal heavy chain 7-like, transcript variant X2
Source: RNAcentral